CUGUAAGCCGCCUCGAGCCCCCAGCAGUGGGAAAGGCGUGCUAUAGUAACAACAACGACAAAGGUUAGGUGAGGGGCAAUGACUGCCCCCCCCCAAAGUCUUCCUCCCACACAGCAUUUUCAUGGCCAAGUGGGGAUAUGAACUCCGGUCUCCCCAAAUCCUAGUCCCAACACUAACCAGUACACCAUCUGUUUUCCAGCCCAACCUAAAAGCACACCAUAUGCACGGUUUGCAAGAAGGGUGAAUAAGAAAAGCCCGGCUGGAUCAGACCGAAGCAAAGGUCUUUUUAUUCCAGUGUCCGGUUCCCCCAUUGUGGCUGACUCAUAGCUGUUAACCUUCCCUUUUUUGGCAGGAAAUUCCCUUAUUCCAGCGCUGUUUCCCGCUGCUAUCCUGGAUUGUUAGAUAUCCCAUAGACUGUCCCCGGGACAGGUAAGGCUGCUGAUCCCUUAUUUUCGAGGCUGCUGAUCCCUUAUUUUCAAAUCUGAAAGUUGACGGCUAUGGGCUGACUAGAUGGCCACAAGGUGGGCAGGAUGGCAGGGCCAGCCCAGCCAUUAGGCAUACUGAGGUUACCGCCUCGGGCAGCGGGAUCUACAGGGGCAGCAGAUCCCAGUGUAGAUCUUUACAUUUCCAAGCACAAUUCAAAGUGUUGGUGCUGACCUUUAAAGCCCUAAACGGCCUCUGCCCAGUAUACCUGAAGGAGCGUCUCCACCUCCACCGUUCUACCCGGACACUGAGGUCCAGUGCCGAGGGCCUUCUGGCGGUUCCCUCACUGCGAGAAGCCAAGUUACAGGGAACCAGGCAGAGGGCCUUCUCGGUAGUGGCACCCACCCUGUGGAACGCCCUCCCACCAGAUGUCAAAGAGGAAAACAACCACCAGACUUUUAGAAGACAUCUGAAGGCAGCCCUGUUUAGGGAAACGUUUAAUGUUUAAUAGACUAUUGUAUUUUAAUAUUUUGUUGGAAGCCGCCCAGAGUGGCGGGGUAUAAAUUAAUAAUAAUAAUAAUAAUAAAAUAAUAAUAAUAAUAAUAAUAAUAAUAAUAAUAAUAAUUUCUCCCCUGGUUCCCGAUGUAAAUCUUCAUUCACCCCUUCUUCCUUUGCAGGGGAUGAGCGACAUUUUGCGGUUCGCCUCAGAGGCUAAAAUGUCUUGGGCUAGCCCCACAGGAUGGAAAUAGCCCUUUCCUGUGACUGCUUCCCUCCUUCCCACAAUUGGUAUACAGAGCUACUCAGCUUCAGAAUUUGAUUCUAUGCCUCCUUCCUUACAGGAGAGUAAGUGUCACUUAAGUCACUGGGUCUUACUUCUGAGAACAGCUACAUCAUUUGCAACACAAUCCUGUAUGUUCAAUGGGGAUUCCUCCCAAUGCACAGGUUUGCAGCCUUGGUAGAUAAAACACUUCCAUUGAUGUGCUCUUGACCUCCCCCCAUGGGCGUAGCCAAGACUUUUGUUAGGGGGGCAGAACCAACAUGAUUGCUCAGUUCAGUAUUCCUAUUGUUUGACUUGAUCUGGAGGGGCAGCUGCCCCUCCCUGCCCCCCCCCCCGACUACACCCAUGCCUCCCGCCCCCCAUUUAUCUGGCAGCAAAUGCAUAUACAGUUUUAAAUAUAGGUAUUAAAAUAACUGCUAUCAGAGAAAAGGCAUUCCCUCCCCAUGUGGGAGAGAAAUAGAAAGGCAUCUGUUAAGAUGAUGUCUGCCAAGGUCCAUUUAUCUCUCAAUAAAUAUUUCCUCGAUACCCUACAGAAUUUUUUUUUUAAAAGACAGCAUACUAAUUAAAACCAACAAUAAGAGAGAGAGAGAAAAAACUUCAUUACAACAGAGUCAGCAUAAAACAAUAUACAGCCCAGACUUAAAGGGCAAUUAAAAAAGCCCGAGUGAAUAAAAAUAUGUUCAUCUGGCACCAAAAAGACUGUAAAGAAAGCACCAGGCAAGCCUCUCUGGGGAGACUAUUCCAUCGUCCAGGUGCCACUACAGAAAAGGCCCCGUCUGUAAUGGUCACUCAGUGUGCUUCUUUUCCUUUAGAACCUUUUAAAUAUGCAAAGAUACUUUGUUUCAUACAUUUUGUCAACUAAAACUUACAUAAUUAACUGAGAUUUAUUUCUCUAUGUUCCCCCGUACCCAGGAGUAAGGUUGUAAACUCUUAUUUGGGAAUAAGCCACAUUAAAUUUAAUAGGUUUUACUACUUAUGAGUAGGUACAAGUACUGAUAUUUAUUUCAGUACCUAUGAAGCUGCUUUACAGAGAUUAACCCUCCCUAGUACGCAACAUAUAAAAAAAUUAUUCAAAAUUAUUCAAUUAUUCAAAAUGUAAGUUACAAACCAUAAAACCACCAUAUACGAAACAUCUAAAAAUAUUUUUUCUUGUAAGCAAACAUACAUAGCACUAGACUCCCAUGUACUUGAAAUAAGCCUUCCUGAAAUGAAAUGGGUCUUACUUCUAAGUAAGCAAAACUAGGAUUGGGUUCUGUACGGCAUUUGAGCCGCAUGUAAAAUGUGGUCUUUGCAUUGUGGAUCUCUGAGUGCAGACGUGUUCAAAGAAGCCUACACAUGUACAACACUGUGCACAUAGUUUCCGCACGAUAUGCACAGAGGUGUACCAAUGGGUAUCCCACUUUGCAGAGAUCUGCACUCAGUGCGUAGAGGCAGAGACUAGGGAUGACGCAAUGUCCAACAUGGAGGAUGGAGCCAGUAACAGCAGCAGUAAGCAUAUGCCCUAAGCCUGGAGCUACACAUUAACAGGGUUGUAAGAGCAUGCUGAUGUUGAGUUCUGCAGAGCCCUCACUGGCCAGGCAGAAAGUCAGUUACAAUCAACUACAGAGAAAACAAUUCUUUAAUCAAAAAUCAUUUACAGUGUAACCCAGCACAUGUUUGCAUGGGGAAAAGUUCCACUCUAUUCAAGGGAAUGCAGUCCCAGAAAGCACACAUAUAGCUAAGUUGUGUGUGUGUGUGUUCCAAAUAAUGGCUUGUGUCGGAAAAGACUUGAGAAACCCAGCUUCAAAUCCACACCAAAGCUUUAUUUAUCCUCCUCCAAAGGGUUGUCGUGAGCAUAAAGAGAGGGUUUGUGGAUCAAAUGAAUCAUAGAAUCAUAGAGUUGGAAGAGACCACAAGGGCCAUCGAGUCCAACCCCCUGCCAAGCAGGAAACACCAUCAGAGCACUCCUGACAUAUGGUUGUCAAGCCUCUGCUUAAAGACCUCCAAAGAAAGAGACUCCACCACACUCCUUGGCAGCAAAUUCCACUGUCAAACAGCUCUUACUGUCAGGAAGUUCUUCCUAAUGUUUAGGUGGAAUCUUCUUUCUUGUAGUUUGGAUCCAUUGCUCCGUGUCUGCUUCUCUGGAGCAGCAGAAAACAACCGUUCUCCCUCCUCUAUGUGACAUCCUUUUAUAUAUUUGAACAUGGCUAUCAUAUCACCCCUUAACCUCCUCUUCUCCAGGCUAAACAUGCCCAGCUCCCUUAGCCGUUCCUCAUAAGGCAUCGUUUCCAGGCCUUUGACCAUUUUGGUUGCCCUCCUCUGGACACGUUCCAGUUUGUCAGUGUCCUUCUUGAACUGUGGUGCCCAGAACUGGACACAGUACUCCAGGUGAGGUCUGACCAGAGCAGAAUACCCUGCCCUGCCCUAAGCUCCUUAAAGGAAGAGCAGAAUGAAUGUAAUAUAUAAUAAUUAUGUAAUGGAAAUAAUAGAAUAGCUAAGAGAAGGUUAAAUCACCAGAACUUCAAAGUAGUGUUAAAAAAAAUGUUUCGGGUAAAUCACAGCUAGGAGGAGGAUUUUUAUCAGGACUAUAGCACAUAAACUGCAAACUGCAAUCCCAAUCCUGAUUCCGCCCCCCCCCCCCGCAAAAAGCCACUAUUUACACAUUUGUAAAGAUGAAAGCAGCUGCAAGUGCCGCAUUUUAACAUCACAUGCAGUUUAGUCCCAAUGCAUGCAAUAUGUGAACAUGGAGAAUGUUCAUCCAAAGCACAGGGUUGCCUUUUCAUGGGAACUUUGUAAGAGAAAGAAAAGACGAGGAUGAAGAUUUACAAAAUGUUUUUAAAGGGCUUCAUGAGUGCUCCCACCAUUCAGAUUUGCAGCAGGGAAUUACUCAGCUUCUAACGAAAUAACAGAGCGAAUAAAUUUUUCCUUUCUAGAAAAAAAAAAGAGGUAUUAUUAUCUCCUGAGACAAGCAGGUUAACCCCCUAUGCAAAAUGUGUUUUGAUGUCCCACAACAACUGCCUAACAACACAAGAAUUGCCUCCUAAGGCCUUGAUCCCGUGUUCAAAGAAGCCCACGCAUGUUCAACGCUAUGCACAUACGCUACAUAUGGCACAGCAACAAAUCCAGCAGAAGAUGUCCCCUCGCCUUUCCUAUGCCUGUACAGUGCAAAAGACCGCGCAACAUUUUUUUUUCCAGAAAAUUUUCCAAUAGAGAAUUUAAUAAUUCCACCUCGCUUGCAUUCUGUACUCACAGGAACCAAUAUGGUGGAAACUGUCUUUAUCAUGCUAGGAGAGACAUGAGGUACUCAUACAGCAGGGCACCUCUGCUGCAAUGUACCUAGUUUGGUUGUAGUUUGGAGAACGGCACCAUAUUGUCUACGCAUAUCUCUGCAUUUAUUUAUUUAUUUAUUUAUUUAGGUCUCCAGCAUCUACAGGCAACAAGUCCCGUCUUCUUACCAGACGCAGUGUGCAAACUUCACCCCUCAUCUUUGAAGGCUACGCACUGACAUUUAAAUUAAAACACACCAAGAACAUUUUCGUACCUGUGCUGGGGUUUUUAAACUCUUGCAGCAGGGAAUGGGGGAAAUCUACAGCAAAAGAGGAUUUCCAGGUAUAAUUUUCACUACAAACUAGAACAGCGUUCUCAGCCCCAUCCUUGCCAAUAAAUUGAAGAGGUGCAACAUCAGCUUACCUGAGACAAAUGCCCCAAUUCUAAAGCAUCACUUUGAACUAAGCCCCUUUCCCACGUAAGUACUCGCUUCCCACACAGUGGUCACAAUCCACAGCCUUGCACUGCAUUCUAGCACCGCCACAUCCACUGCACCUAUCAAACGGACUGCUGGCUCUGGUGGUGCCUAUCAGAGAUAGGAGGAGGAAAGAGGAUCCACAUAACAGGGUGGCCACCCACUCGCAGACCUGACCCAGCCAAGAUACUCGUUUGCAACAGCCCUUACGUGCGGCACCCGUUGGCGCAUAAAGACCACAUCCAGCAAAGGCAGCCAGUUGCCUUGAAGAAACCUGCAAAGAUUGCCUUUUGCAGGGGUUUGAGUUCUUCAGCGUUUAAAGAUACAAGCGUAACGGGGUUUGAGAUAUGGGCAUUGCCGCACAACAGCCUAGUUCACCAGAGGCAUAAAACGGACUGAAAAAAGUAGCGUGCUUAUCAACGCAACAUUAGCAAGACACAGCAGAGAAUACGUCAAAGGGUCAAUAAGAACAGUGGCAUUAAUGGUCAUUAUUAUUACUUGAAUGCCUUUUGCCAGCUAAAAAGCUAAACCUAACAAUUUCCUGGAGAAUCAGGGCAUGGAUUCUAACCACUUGUUGUAGCAGGACGCACCAGCACACACAGUGGCAAAAGGGAGGCAAUAAGCUCGUGUGAAUGAAUGAGCCGCCUACGGUAUUAUUAUUAUUGUUGUUGUUGUUGUUGUUGUUACAAUGAGACAUGCAAAUUUGGCUGUGAAUUUAAAGCCCCCUCCCCAUUUUUAACCAGGAAAUAAUAUCGGGGGUGGGGAGUGAGAAGACACCAACAACAUACAGUCUGGCCACAACCAUUCAUUGCGGCAGUGUGCCACUGUCACGCCCACAUUUGUCUUCUGAUCCGCCCCUGGGAUUUCCGCGAAACCCGGGAGGUUGCAGAGAAAGUCCCGGGGCGGGAGGGAAAUCAUGGCUAUCUGGGUGUGCCUUUAAAAAGCCGCCGCCGCCGCCACCACCUCCUUGAGUAAGGAAGGCGCCUUUUUUUGCGCAUUUGCAGUCAAAGAAGCCGCGCAUCUCAUGCACGCACGCUAACAAAAAGCAAAACGCGGGCUGGAUCGAUAUUCGCAUUAUUAAUGCAGGGGGUUCCCCGUGGGGAGGGGGGAAACACGACACACACGGAAUUGUCUUUCUUUACAAAUGGGCGUCGCCACACUUUUUUUGCAGCAGCCUGAGCCUUUUGUUAGCUAGGGAACGGAUGCGAAUAGCCGCUUGCCCCCUUAAUCCGGAGUGAACCCGGACUUCGGUUCACCAGCCCCCGACUCCCGAUGCAAUGCACGCGAUUGUUUCAGGCGACCCUGAGCAGCUGCUUUUUGCAGCCAGACAGCCUCUGCGAUCGAGCGCGGUUCCAGCACCAAUCAAUCAAUCAAUCCAAUUAUCGACAAGGGGAUCUACUCACAAGACUUGGCGAAUUUCCCUCCCUGUGCGUCGCCGUCUGCGCCUCUGCUGCGUUUUUUCCUUCUUCUUUUCUGCUUCUUUUGUUUUCCCGCUUUCCCUUUUCUUUCCGUUUAAGGCUCCACUCUGAAUGUCACAAAAUAAAUGCGUCCAUUGUGCGCUGCAACCACCCCGAAGCCUCGCUUGAACUGGAGCGGUUCCUCUCCCACUUCCCCCUUUCCUCGUGUGCUCAUCCAACGUGAUGGACAGUUGCUAUGGUUUCGCAUCUCUGACGUCAACGACAUUAAAGAGAAAGAGCUUUCCUUUGCUGCCUGGGAUAACUCCCACCAAGGAGCACAAAAAAAAGAGACAGACAGAAAGAGGAUUUCUUGUGCAGUCGAGCCUGGCAGGGCGUAGUCCAGGCACCUCCCAUUUCUUCCCACUGAGGCAGCUAUCACUCAGUAAUUACUGCAGAGAUAUUAGAAUUAUUAAGCCUUGCCAGGGAUGCUUGCAUACUGGGCUGGCACUACUAUUAGGCAGACUGAGGCAGCCGGUUCAGGCGGCAAGGUGCUGGGGGGCAGGCAGCAAAGUGGUGGGUGAUGUCGGCCAGCCCUGUGCCCCAUAAGGCAGCCCGCCACCUUCUGGGGGGGUCGGUGUGGGGCAGCGUCUCCACCCCCAUAGUGAACUUAAGAGUCAACAGCCAGUCUGGUCAGCUUCUGAGUGUGGAAAGGUUGUUGGAGGCAGGGAGAGAGGGGAAAAAUAAUAAUCAUCUCCUUUGUCUCAGACAAGGAAAAUGCCUUGGACGCACAAAUAUUAACAUGUACUUAAUGCAAUAAAGUUUGUUUUUC
This is a non-coding RNA of Podarcis lilfordi (Lilford's wall lizard), 7148 nucleotides long. Lineage: Eukaryota; Metazoa; Chordata; Lepidosauria; Squamata; Lacertidae. The record is from the annotation of a GenBank genome assembly.